Molecule: ribosomal RNA, 437 nt
Filed under: uncultured bacterium
Lineage: Bacteria
Description: bacterial SSU rRNA
Rfam family: Bacterial small subunit ribosomal RNA
Source: RNAcentral
AACGCGAAGAACCUUACCUGGGCUCGAAGCACAGUGGACCGGGGUAGAAAUAUCCCUUUUCGCAAGAACUGCUGUGGAGGUGCUGCAUGGCUGUCGUCAGCUCGUGUCGUGAGAUGUUGGGUUAAGUCCCGCAACGAGCGCAACCCCCAUCUUCAGUUGCCAGCGGUUUGGCCGGGCACUCUGAAGAAACUGCCGGUGACAAGCCGGAGGAAGGCGGGGAUGACGUCAAGUCCUCAUGGCCCUUAUGGGCUGGGCUACACACGUGCUACAAUGGCGGUGACAGAGGGCGGCGCGGCAGCGAUGCCUAGCCAAUCUCGAAAAGCCGUCUCAGUUCGGAUUGCUCUCUGCAACUCGGGAGCAUGAAGUCGGAAUCGCUAGUAAUGGCAGAUCAGCACGCUGCCGUGAAUACGUUCCCGGGCCUUGUACACACCGCGAGC